UGGGGAAUCUUCCGCAAUGGACGAAAGUCUGACGGAGCAACGCCGCGUGUAUGAUGAAGGUCUUCGGAUUGUAAAGUACUGUCAUUGGGGAAGAACGGUUUUCUUGAAAAGAUUGAGAAGACAUGACGGUACCCAAGGAGGAAGCCCCGGCUAACUACGUGCCAGCAGCCGCGGUAAUACGUAGGGGGCAAGCGUUGUCCGGAAUUAUUGGGCGUAAAGGGCGCGUAGGCGGGCCUUUAAGUCCGGUGUGAAAGAUCAGGGCUCAACCCUGAGAGUGCAUCGGAAACUGGAGGCCUUGAGGACAGGAGAGGAAAGUGGAAUUCCACGUGUAGCGGUGAAAUGCGUAGAUAUGUGGAGGAACACCAGUGGCGAAGGCGACUUUCUGGACUGUAACUGACGCUGAGGCGCGAAAGCGUGGGGAGCAAAACAGGAUUAGAUACCCUGGUAGUCCACGCCCGUAAACGAUGAGUGCUAGGUGUAGAGGGUAUCGACCCCUUCUGUGCCGCAGUUAA
Molecule: ribosomal RNA, 512 nt
Filed under: uncultured bacterium
Lineage: Bacteria
Description: partial 16S ribosomal RNA
Rfam family: Bacterial small subunit ribosomal RNA
Source: RNAcentral